Gossypium arboreum is the source of this 145-nucleotide microRNA precursor. It matches the Rfam family "MIR7502 microRNA precursor family". Lineage: Eukaryota; Viridiplantae; Streptophyta; Magnoliopsida; Malvales; Malvaceae. The record is from Rfam.
UGUUAAAAAUUUCAUUCAUUUCUACUAUUAAAAUUGGCGUGGUUGAAAGAAUAACCAAAAAGUUACUCGUGGCAUACUAGAUGUAUUUCAUUUUGACAUACAAAUACCAAUUUUUAAUAGUAGAAAUUGAUGAAAUUUUUUAACA